This 252-nucleotide ribosomal RNA is filed under the name uncultured bacterium. RNAcentral describes it as "partial 16S ribosomal RNA". It matches the Rfam family "Bacterial small subunit ribosomal RNA", at positions 57 to 305 of the family's 1533-position model. The record is from RNAcentral.
GCAAGUCGAGCGGAAACGAGAAGUACUUGUACUUCGGCGGCGAGCGGCGGACGGGUGAGUAAUGCUUGGGAAUAGGCCAUAAGGUGGGGGACAACAGAUGGAAACGACUGCUAAUACCGCAUAAUGUCUACGGACCAAAGAGGGGGAUUCUUCGGAACCUCUUGCCUUUAGAUUAGCCCAAGUGAGAUUAGCUAGUAGGUGAGGUAAUGGCUCACCUAGGCGACGAUCUCUAGCUGGUUUGAGAGGAUGAUC